Molecule: ribosomal RNA, 253 nt
Filed under: uncultured bacterium
Lineage: Bacteria
Description: partial 16S ribosomal RNA
Rfam family: Bacterial small subunit ribosomal RNA
Source: RNAcentral
UACGGGGGGGGCAAGCGUUGUUCGGAAUUACUGGGCGUAAAGGGCUCGUAGGCGGCCAACUAAGUCGGAUGUGAAAUCCCCAGGCUUAACCUGGGAACUGCAUCCGAUACUGGAUGGCUUGAAUCCGGGAGAGGGAUGCAGAAUUCCAGGUGUAGCGGUGAAAUGCGCAGAUAUCGGGAAGAACACCUGUGGCGAAGGCGGCUCUCUGGGACGGUACUGACGCUGAGACGCGAAAGCGUGGGGAGCAAACAGG